This 427-nucleotide ribosomal RNA is filed under the name uncultured bacterium. Its description in RNAcentral is "bacterial SSU rRNA". It matches the Rfam family "Bacterial small subunit ribosomal RNA", at positions 355 to 774 of the family's 1533-position model. The record is from RNAcentral.
CUAAGAAUAUUCCGCAAUGGACGGAAGUCUGACGGAGCGACGCCGCGUGGAUGACGAAGGCCGAAAGGUUGUAAAGUUCUUUUGCUGGGGAAGAAUAACCGCAGGAGGGAAUGCCUGUGGGAUGACAAGAACCGGCGAAUAAGCCCCGGCCAACUACGUGCCAGCAGCCGCGGUAACACGUAGGGGGCGAGCGUUGUUCGGAAUUACUGGGCGUAAAGGGCAUGUAGGCGGCUUGGAAAGCCUGGCGUGAAAGUCUGCAGCUUAACGGCAGGGGUGCGCUGGGAACUGCUGACCUUGAGUGACGGAGAGGGAGCUGGAAUUCCUGGUGUAGGGGUGAAAUCUGUAGAUAUCAGGAAGAACACCGAUGGCGAAGGCAAGCUCCUGGCCGAUGACUGACGCUGAGGUGCGAAAGUGUGGGGAUCAAACA